UAUUGUUAGUAAAAUUAACUCCAUUUAUGAAUUAACCUAAUCCGUUUUCAAUCAACCAUACUGAUUUUCCAUUAUAUAUUUAGCUGAAUUGUCAUUGUGGAAUUUAUAUGUUUUGUUGUAAAUUGAUGUUACCUUCAACUUAUAAAGGAUACAUUGACCUUUCUAAUUCUAUCUUGUGCUUCUUGACUUUUGAAGGUCUUUUGACAAUGAACUUUUUUGUGAGAAUAUAAUUUCUUAUCCAAUGAAUAAUUCAUAUAUUUAAGCAUAGAUAACCUUCAAAUUGUUCUUCUCUUGUCAGAACCAGUAUGUCUAGAUCACACUGUCACGUGUUUUACUCUUGGUAGAAUCUGUACAUAAUUUGAUGUAAAUAUCUUAAACUUCAGUUUCUUAGCAAAAAUAUUACUUUUGAAACCAAGUAUGUGGAGGAUAUUUCUCAGCCAAUUUGUAUUCGAUAAUUCAACAAUUUGUUGUUUCACUUUGAGAUGCUCUAUUGGAGAGCAGACUGAUUUCCAUUUGCUUAAGAAACUGAUAUGGAAAGCCUCUUUUCUGCUAGAAUUUUUAUCAAGGAAAAUAUGAAAGGCUGCUGGGGAAUGUAUAGUUAAGUUUACUCGAAUUAUUGCAGGAUGAUUCUUAUGCUUGGCCCCCAAGUUGCAGGAAGACCACACUUUUAAAGGCUCUCUCUGGAACUCCUGACAAAUCUCUAAAGAGAUAACAGGGGAAAAGUCUUCUUCAGUGGUUACCGGUUUGAUGAGUUUGUUCCCAGAAAAUGUCAGCUUACAUAUGCCAAGAGAGGAAUCAAUUCCCACGAGUAGUGUCUGAAACUGAGAAAUUAGGCUUGAUUUUUCUACAUGAUAUCUUAGUGUCUGAAACUGAGAAAUUAGGCUUCUUAUAAUUUAAUUCAAUGAAGUUACGGUCACAGCCGCCUCAUCAAUUCCCACGAGUAGUUGAUUGGUACAGAGCAAUUUUUUUUUUCUGCCUGUGCAGAUAUGAUGAUGGAAGUCAGUAAAAGAGAGGAAUCAACAAUUGUUCCGGAUGUAGACGUAGAUACUUUCACGAAGGUAUCUUCAUUAUAUUUGAUGUUUUGUUUAUAUCUGAUGUUUUGUUCGAUAUGUUGUUGCUACAUGGGUGAAAUAUUCAUGGCAAUGGUAGUUACUGGAGGCAAUUUCUACCAAAGGACAACAAAUACCCCUCAAACAGAUCAUGUUUUAACUGUCUUCAGACUUCCCAGGUCCUUGGACUCGAUAUUUUUUCUGACAUAAUUGUGGGAGAGGCAUCUCUGGAGGUCAAAAAAGGAGAUCGAGUACGGGUAAUAUUUUAUAAUGCAUCUGCUCCACUUGGAAGUAAUGUUUAGAGUAUAGAUGAUUCAAAGGAUUAGAUGCCUGCAGCAGAUUGUUGUUCCCACAAAAACUUAAUUAUGGUUGAGAUAUGCAAUGGUUUAGACAGUUCAA
Long non-coding RNA from Mangifera indica (mango), 1448 nucleotides. RefSeq lists it as uncharacterized. Lineage: Eukaryota; Viridiplantae; Streptophyta; Magnoliopsida; Sapindales; Anacardiaceae. The transcript is spliced from 2 exons. The record is from RefSeq and is a predicted model, not a curated record.